AUUGAACGCUGGCGGCAUGCCUUACACAUGCAAGUCGAACGGUAACAGGUCUUCGGAUGCUGACGAGUGGCGAACGGGUGAGUAAUACAUCGGAACGUGCCCGAUCGUGGGGGAUAACGAGGCGAAAGCUUUGCUAAUACCGCAUACGAUCUACGGAUGAAAGCGGGGGAUCUUCGGACCUCGCGCGGCCGGAGCGGCCGAUGGCAGAUUAGGUAGUUGGUGGGAUAAAAGCUUACCAAGCCGACGAUCUGUAGCUGGUCUGAGAGGAUGAUCAGCCACACUGGGACUGAGAGACGGCCCAGACUCCGACGGGAGGCAGCAGUGGGGAAGUUUGGACAAUGGGCGAAAGCCUGAUCCAGCCAUGCCGCGUGCAGGAGGAAGGCGUUCGGGUUGUAAACUGCUUUUGUACGGAACGAAAAGCCUCUUUCUAAUAAAGAGGGGUAAUGACGGUACCGUAAGAAUAAGCACCGGCUAACUACGUGCCAGCAGCCGCCGUAAGAC
This 501-nucleotide ribosomal RNA is filed under the name uncultured bacterium. RNAcentral's name for it is "bacterial SSU rRNA". It matches the Rfam family "Bacterial small subunit ribosomal RNA", at positions 30 to 526 of the family's 1533-position model. The record is from RNAcentral.